AGGAGAUGUCCUGAUUCAGAUUUCAGAGAACCAGAGGCGACUCACCGCUGAACUGGAAGCAAUAUUCCGCUGGUUCCACUCUGAAGUGCUGCAGGAGAUGGACAAUAAUGUCAAACUGGAUAAGGACUACAUAGCAGGCAGCAGGAGGCGAUAUGAGAUGGAGGUACGGACCCAGGCCACCAUCUUUGGAGAGGCAGCUGAGGGGAGGGGCUUACCAGGAUGAGUACAUUCACUUCCUGAGGGAUAGUCAGCAUGAGGCUCUGAUGGAGGAGGAAAGGAGAUACUGUUUCCUGGCUGAGAAACACUGUGGUCUCACUCAGUCCAUCGUCUAUCUCAUGAACAAGAGAUGUCCUGAUUCAGAUUUCAGAGAACCAGAGGCGACUCACCGCUGAACUGGAAGCAAUAUUCCGCUGGUUCCACUCUGAAGUGCUGCAGGAGAUGGACAAUAAUGUCAAACUGGAUAAGGACUACAUAGCAGUGAGUAG
Molecule: long non-coding RNA, 485 nt
Organism: Oncorhynchus keta (chum salmon)
Lineage: Eukaryota; Metazoa; Chordata; Actinopteri; Salmoniformes; Salmonidae
Exons: 6
Source: RefSeq, a predicted model, not a curated record